UCAGUCGACUCCUACGGGGAGGCAGCAUGGGGGAAUAUUGCACAAUGGGGGAAACCCUGAUGCAGCCAUGCCGCGUGUGUGAAGAAGGCCUUCGGGUUGUAAAGCACUUUCAGUAGGGAGGAAGGUAGUGUAGUUAACACCUGCAUUAUUUGACGUUACCUACAGAAGAAGCACCGGCUAACUCCGUGCCAGCAGCCGCGGUAAUACGGAGGGUGCGAGCGUUAAUCGGAAUUACUGGGCGUAAAGCGCAUGCAGGUGGUUUGUUAAGUCAGAUGUGAAAGCCCGGGGCUCAACCUCGGAAUUGCAUUUGAAACUGGCAGGCUAGAGUCUUGUAGAGGGGGGUAGGAAUUUCAGGUGUAGCGGUGAAAUGCGUAGAGAUCUGAAGGAAUACCAGUGGCGAAGGCGGCCCCCUGGACAAAGACUGACGCUCAGAUGCGAAAGCGUGGGGAGCAAACAGGAUUAGAUACCCUGGUAG
RNAcentral lists this ribosomal RNA (475 nucleotides) under uncultured bacterium. RNAcentral's name for it is "bacterial SSU rRNA". It matches the Rfam family "Bacterial small subunit ribosomal RNA", at positions 328 to 793 of the family's 1533-position model. The record is from RNAcentral.